RNAcentral lists this ribosomal RNA (253 nucleotides) under uncultured bacterium. RNAcentral's name for it is "partial 16S ribosomal RNA". It matches the Rfam family "Bacterial small subunit ribosomal RNA", at positions 524 to 776 of the family's 1533-position model. The record is from RNAcentral.
UACGUAGGGUGCAAGCGUUGUCCGGAAUUAUUGGGCGUAAAGAGCUUGUAGGCGGUUUGUCGCGUCUGCUGUGAAAUUUCGGGGCUCAACCCCGAACUUGCAGUGGGUACGGGCAGACUAGAGUGUGGUAGGGGAGACUGGAAUUCCUGGUGUAGCGGUGAAAUGCGCAGAUAUCAGGAGGAACACCGAUGGCGAAGGCAGGUCUCGGGGCCAUAACUGACGCUGAGAAGCGAAAGCAUGGGGAGCGAACAGG